UACUCAAAAUCGGAGCAGAUGAAAAAAUAAAGAAUAACCAUGAAUUAUUUGGACAAAUGUCUUGACAAGGACAAUAAUCUUGGCUUUUUUAUUAAACAAAAAGAGAUAUGCCUGAAUAUUUUAAAGUUGAAAAAGUUUGUUUAGACACCAGUGAAUUCACCAUGCUAAAUAGCCACAGUGCCUUAUGAAUAUUCAAUGAUAAUCAAGUGUAAGUCUCAAGUAAUUAUUGGCUACAUAAAAAUGGGUUGAUAAUUCAGUAAACUGGUACAAUUCAACCCAGACAAAGACGUGUGAAAUACUGAAUGAUAUUGUACCAAGUAAAUUUUCACAAAUAACUGAUUUCAUGCUGACAGAUAGAGAUAAUAAUAUGAUAUUGUAGAGAAGAAUAGAUUGACUGUUUAAUCAAGAUGAGAUCAGCAAUAAAAAUGAUGGUGAAGAUGAAAGGUAUGUUGGUUCUAGUUUUUCUUCAAAAAAUGCAGCGAAUUUAAUAUGAAAUAUAUCCAAUUGGUGAACAUUUAUUCAACACAAUUGAGUAUAUUUCAUAUUAAAUGCUGAGGUAACUAAACCACAAAAAAAAGCGAGAUUAAAAACAAUAUUGAUAAUUCUCUCAAUGAUACGUUGCAUUGAAUCAAAAAAAUAUAGAGAAUUAAUUUUCAAUUAAAAUGCGUAAUUUGAUAAACUCAUAAUUUAAAUUCGUAAAAGAAAAAAAGUUAUGAAACAAAUUAAGUUGAUGAAAAAUAAGAAAAUGAAGAGAAUGCGAUACGAAAAUAAUUCAAGAGAAAUGACAAGAUCACCCGAGGCGUAAGGAAGAUCAUUGAAAACUUGAAAAACUACCAACACAUGAAUCAAACAGACAAGGUUUUUUAUCACCAAAAAUAAAAAAGAAGGAGGAGAAGAAGACGAAUGUAUGCAUCCCAAAAAAUUAUAAUCUGCCUGAACCAGCAUCAGAGGGAAAAAACACCAUGACCAUGAACGAUAAUAUAAAGCAUCCUGUUGAUAUGGCUCGUCAACAAAAUUCAUCUAUCAAUCCUGUGGACCACCUGCCCAAAUGAAUUCCUUUUUAGUUAUUCCACGACUUGUCACCCGAGCUAAUUCACAACAAUGAUUUUAAAUUAAAGAUUUAUUAUAUAUUUUUUUUUAUUAAAAGUUGCCUUGAUAGUCAUCAUUAUUAGCAAAAAAAAAUAAUCAUCUAACAUUGGCAUUUGUAUUAGGCAAUUCAUCUUUCGUGUCCAAUUAAUAGUAAAUUCUUAUCAUCAUCCACACAAGGACCAAGGUGAUUAGCACUAUGUACUCUGCCAGGAUAUUAGUCUUUUUUUAAAUGCAUUUAUUAUACCUAAAAAGUAUAUUCACACUGAUAUGUUUAGAAGCUAUCGCCACUGGUAGAAAAUAUUUCAUCAAGAAAUAAUGUUUGUAUUCAACGAUGAAUGUCUUCAACAACUGGUUAGAU
Long non-coding RNA from Aphidius gifuensis, 1447 nucleotides. RefSeq lists it as uncharacterized. The record is from RefSeq and is a predicted model, not a curated record. The transcript has 5 exons. NCBI's taxonomy places the organism in Eukaryota, Metazoa, Arthropoda, Insecta, Hymenoptera, Braconidae.